RNAcentral lists this ribosomal RNA (69 nucleotides) under Roseibium sp. RKSG952. RNAcentral describes it as "partial 16S ribosomal RNA". The stretch from base 1 to 62 matches the Rfam family "Bacterial small subunit ribosomal RNA", at positions 1472 to 1533 of the family's 1533-position model. The record is from RNAcentral. Lineage: Bacteria; Pseudomonadati; Pseudomonadota; Alphaproteobacteria; Hyphomicrobiales; Stappiaceae.
CGACUGGGGUGAAGUCGUAACAAGGUAGCCCUAGGGGAACCUGGGGCUGGAUCACCUCCUUUCUAAGGA